RNAcentral lists this transfer RNA (74 nucleotides) under Anaerolineales bacterium. RNAcentral's name for it is "tRNA-Arg". It matches the Rfam family "tRNA". Rfam says of the family: Transfer RNA (tRNA) molecules are approximately 80 nucleotides in length. Their secondary structure includes four short double-helical elements and three loops (D, anti-codon, and T loops). The record is from RNAcentral. Lineage: Bacteria; Bacillati; Chloroflexota; Anaerolineae; Anaerolineales.
GCGCCCGUAGCUCAGUGGAUUAGAGCACGCGGCUACGAACCGCGGGGUCGGGAGUUCAAGUCUCUCCGGGCGUA